UACGAAGGGUGCAAGCGUUAAUCGGAAUUACUGGGCGUAAAGCGUGCGUAGGCGGUUGGUUAAGUCUGUCGUGAAAGCCCUGGGCUCAACCUGGCAAUGGCGAUGGAAACUGGCCAGCUAGAGUGUGAUAGAGGAUGGCGGAAUUCCCGGUGUAGCGGUGAAAUGCGUAGAGAUCGGGAGGAACAUCCGUGGCGAAGGCGGCCAUCUGGAUCAACACUGACGCUGAGGCACGAAAGCGUGGGGAGCAAACAGG
RNAcentral lists this ribosomal RNA (253 nucleotides) under uncultured bacterium. RNAcentral's name for it is "partial 16S ribosomal RNA". It matches the Rfam family "Bacterial small subunit ribosomal RNA", at positions 524 to 776 of the family's 1533-position model. The record is from RNAcentral.